UCUAGUGAACACAUGCUUCUGACCCAUAAAGGGUUCCAGUGAAGAACAGAGCGACAGAGUGUUAGGACUUGGGCCAUGGACCAAUCAGUUCAUCCACACUGGCUGGAAAAAGGCUUCUCCUGACAUUUUAAACAAUAAAGUUUUGAAAGGCUACCUGGUGAUUUUCGAAGCUCCUUACCUGGCUCAAGUUGACCUUGUCAGUGAUAUUUCUGUCUGUGCACCUGGGGGCAUCCUGCAGACAUUGCUGCCAGUUCUGGCAAGUGGAGACAUGAAGGGUUGCCUUGGAAACAGGGCCUCUGGAAAAGGGACAUGCAGCAGAUUCUUGGAACACAAAACACCUUCCAUCAUUUUCAAAGGGCUGGGAAAGUUGUGAUCCUAUGUGUGCAUAUUCAACAAGGGUCACUUUGCAGGAGUGUGGCUUCCCUCUUCCAGCCAGAAAGUUGUUUUUUACAUGCACUGAAGGCAGCAGAUGGGGCCAUGGCAUCCAUAUUCAUUAGCCUCGGUCUGCCACCUUGACCCUGACGCCAGCUCCCCAUCCGUGCUCUCUUCAUGGACUCAAUAGAAGCAACUUGGGGCUACUGCAAGGCCCCUAGAACAUGUUUAUUAUCCAAAAGGCUGGGAAACACGAAGAACCUCUUCCCCAACAAUCCCCCACCAUCCCAACUCCAAAUCUGCAUUACGACACUCACAUUCUCAAGCAAGACCCUCAAGAAUGGAACAUCUGCCCCACUAAUGGGGCUUUCUUAAAGUUGUGUGGAUGAUAAAUGAAGGAAGUCUAAGGAGACAAUGGUGGGAGAGUAGACUGAGGCAAAAUCACAAAACUGAUCAAUCAGGGAAGAAAGGAAUAAAGGAUUAUAGGUGAGAAACAUCCAUUCUUAUCAAAUGGUUAAGCUCUGGACUAAGGAACUACUACGGAAAGCUUGCACUAGCUAGAGAGAAGCCAUGCCAAAAUUUAGCAAGGACUAAAAGUCAGUCUGUGCACUACUAAGCAAUAGUAUUACCCUCGUUGUAGUAUAAUUAAGCUGAGGGUGAGAGGAGAGGAGGCUGUGAGAGAUUCACAUACUGAUCAUAGAUUUAAUAAAUUGGUUAAAUGGAUUAGGAGAGAAAAUUAGAAGACAAGAUUUUACACUGGUUUUACACAUCCAAAAAGUAAAUGUAGCCCAUUGUAAGAUUCAGCAAUGGUUCAUGAAGUAAUAAUUCACUCAGAAGUUAUACACAGAGGAAUAAUGGUGAAAAGGUAGGGUUGUGUGGGCCACAAAUGUCACUAAUUAGGCAGAAGCAGUAGCAACCUAAAGGAAGGCAAGAUUUAUGUUACUAUAGUGCUUUGUACUUCCUUUUCAGUCACUGCAAAUUAGGCCAGGAUGAAUAGAAAAUGACAACAGCCUUCAGUAUUACAGCAUAAAGAUUGAAAUUUACUUCAAACUGCAGGACUUUGAACUGUAUGUCAAUGUAGGAACUUUUGGAUUAGUGUUUCCCUCAUGCAUACUGCAGCUUACUGCAUUCCUCAAAAUGGAUUCCCGUGUGGAAGAUGUCACCAUAAUAAAUUGUCAUGGUCUUCUCUCUCAGCUACUGAAAUAUAUCUGGCACAUUUUGAGCACUGCAGUGUCUGCAAAUGGGAAUGUUAGAGAGUAGAUAUUCGAGAGCAUGAUGUCAUUCUUAUACACACCACACACCAUACAAAAAUGAACUGCUGCACAGCAGAAGUUAAGCUGGAAGUGCACAAAGAAGCAUAACCUUGAUGUGAGCUUUCUUGAGGAGCAGUGGGAGGGGGACAGGGAAAGGAUUGAAAACAAUAUCUACAAUUUAAAAAUCCAGUAUAUCUUAAUUUCUGUUAUUAGCAUGAUAGUUAAGGUAAUGGACACAUUCACAUGCCUGGGGACUUUACUGACAGCAGGUGCCAUUAACGUAAAUUUAGAAAUCUAAUGAGCCUAUUUUUCAUUAUAUGACUAAUUAAACACAUUUGUGAAUAGCAUAAAUUAUUUUUAUAUAAGUAGGAGUUAAAUAGCAUCCAUGUGCAAUUGUUCAUUUUCCAUUAGUUUGAAAUGUCAGCAGCAGUCCUUGAAGCAGGACGCCAAUUUAGCCUGUCAUGUCAAAUAAGGUUCAAAGUUCAAGGUUCUCUAUUUGUCACAUACAUUACAUACAUGUGAUGUAUUAAUGUAGUGAAAUGUUUUUCCUUAGUGCCUCAUCCCACAGUGCAACUGUGAUACAUGAUAAAACAGAAUAUAAUAAAACCUGAAUAUAAUAAAAGAAUAUAAUGAAUAAAAUAGAAAAAUAAAAUAGAAUAAGGCUUGGUCAUUGUGGCGAGGUAAAAGAUCUCUUACCAUUUCAAAAGAAUUAUCUGACCACACAUCUGAGCACCUCAUAACAUUCUGUGAUGUGAGGCAGUAUGGACAAUUAGCAAAGGGAUACUUCUGUAAAGUUUCAAAAAAUAUAUUUAGUCAUAAAUGUGAAUGGAUGAAUUGCAUUCAGUUGUAGUUUGUAGUUUUAAUUGUAGAUGAUGCAAAUAUAGUAGAAGUAGCCACCACUGCAACCAUCAAGAGAUUACUCAGUGAAAGAUAAAAAUAGCAGGUCCGCUAACACAAUGUGGAAAUGUACAUUUUAAUAUAUCAUUUGUUAAUGGUUCCCUUCCCUCAAGUUGUGCUAGUUAAAAGAGAGGAGAGAAAAUUAUUCAUCUGAGCCAGUGGCUUCAGGCUAUCAUGCACAUUUUAAGAUUUCCCUCAAAAAAUACUCUUGGUCGUCUUUGUUUUUACCAUUAUAUUUUAGGCAUUAUCUACCACCCUCAUAGACAAAGGGAAUACCCAUUAGCACAAACAUAUGAGUGCUCACUUAGCCAUUCAGUCUAACCCUACAGAAGAAUCUUUACAAUCAACAACCUUUUAUUUAAAUCAGAAAGUUUUUAGCAGAUUGCCGGUGAUAAGGGUCACGCUGCUACAUGCACUGUCUCACAGCUAGGUCUUAUUCAGCUUUUCAGCUGUGCAAGGCUCAAACACAGCGGGAGUAACAUCCUUCAUUAUCACAGGCCAUGUUUCCCUUGGCAUGCUGCCACUAAUGCACACCUUUAGGAACAUGCAAGAGCUUUUGGCUCACCCAUUUUAAUAUUCAAUAACCCCCACAUAUGAGUUCAAUCACUAAGACACACCUUGGCCCAGAAAUCAACAUUUUUUUUUCCAUCCUGGGAUGUUAGCCUUCAUUCCAGUCAAUCAAAGGUAGGAGCUAGAGAACUGUAUCAUGCUUGUUUCCAUCAGCUGUUGAAGCAAAUAGACAUGAAAUAAUAUAUUGUGCAUCUCUUUGUUUAAGCUUGCUCAUUUCACAUUGCCAUGUUACACUGGUAACGAUGUACAAACCUACUAUUUUUCAGUCUUCACUUAGAAAAUAAAUCACAUUUAGUAGGUGCAUUUAAGCUGGUCAGAAGAAACACCACACUAAUUAGACAAGUGGUGCUGCAGCAUGAAGCCAAGGGUUCCCUUGAGAUGCAUCCAUUUCCCUCUUCCUGUCCAGAAGGCUGUGCUCUCCCUAUUCCAAGGCUCUAAAGAAAUUGCUGAUAUAGCAAAGAUGCUUACCACUUGCUCCACAAUAUUUUAAUGGAGGACAGUCAUUUCUGACUAUUUUCAAAAUAUAGAUUUCUACCAUGUAAGAUUGUGAUUUCUACUGUGUAAGAUUGUAAGAUUGUUUCCAACAAAACCAUUUAUAAUGACUUUAACGUGUCUGUGUCUAUCUGAGUAGUAGGAACGGAUAAACUCCUAAAAAUCAAUAGGCAGCAUGAUGUCAAUUCAAUUCAAUUUUAUUUGUAUAGUGCUUUUAAUAAUGGACAUUGUCACAAAGCAGCUUUACAGAAGUAUAUAAAUCCAGGAAAUAAAUCUUAAAUAUAUGAAUUUAUCCCUAAUGAGCAAGCCAGAGGCAACGGUGGCAAGGAAAAAGAUGAUAUGAGGAAGAAACCUUGAGAGGAACCAGACUCAAAAGGGAACCCAUCUUCUUCUGGGUGACACUGUAUAGUGCAAUUAUAAAUAAUUCCUGUCUAUAACUGUAUACUGUAUGGUAAAAAAGUACAAUUGUGUAAACAGGAAAAUUCAUUAUAGUUUUCACAUUAAGUCUAUUUUGUUGAAGUUAUCAAAUUGUUCACUGAGGGCGACUUGAGUGCAAAACUGUUCUUGGGAAUUGCAGUCCUAAAACUAUCAUUACAAUUGUAGUCCUAAGUCAUCGUAGCAAAACUGUUCUUAUCAAUUGAAUUCCAAAGCCAUCUUCAUGGUUUCUAAGUGGUACCAUCCACAGUAAUCUCAUGUAUCUUUAGGCUGUCCAUGUGGGGCAGCAUGUGGUUUCCAAAUGAUGAGAACUCCAACCAGAAGCAGGGCAUCAGGGUGGAUCAGGCAGGUCCAGAGAGUAGAAAGGGUCAGGAUCACUGGUAUCUCAGGAGUAGGAUGUGUAGCUUGACAGAGAGAAGGGGGGGGUAAUGGUUAAGGACAAUGUACAUGGUGUGUAGAGUGCAAGCAGGGACUCCAGCAAGACUAGCUAUGACAGCAUAACUAAAAGGGAGAGCCAGAAGGUAACACAGACAUGAGGGUGCCCUGGGACAUUAACUGGCCAGCCACUCCACCGUCAACAAACCUAAGUGAACGCGUACGAGUGGGGGGCCGACGGCAUCCAAACAUCCCAGUUCACCACAAUAGUCUAUGCCCGUCCAUGGUAUAUCCACUAGUCCCCACCACUAGCCCAGUCCUUUACAACUUGCAGGCAAUAUUAGAAAUCACAGUUUUACUAACCUAGGUUGUAGAACUAGGUUAUACUUAUGUCAAUAGUGUUGGACUGACUGUGGUCCAUGGCAAAAUCAAAGUGUCCUCCUUAAGUCAUUAUUUAUUUAUUUAUUUAUUUAUUUAUUCAUUUUGCUUGAAGUUUUUUGUGUACUUGCAAACGUUUCUCUAUGGAUCUAUUGAUUGUUAUUGAGAUUCUUGUUAGCACAAAGAUCUGGAAUACAGUAUGAAUUAGUGUAAUGCUGUCAGAAUUUUCUGUAUGCAGUUGAGAUUAUCCACUGUACCAACACUGAGUCUUGGUCAUAGGCUAGAAUCAAGAAACCUGUUAAGGGGUGACAGCAUCAAAACAUCCCAGUUUACCAGAACUCUCUAUGCCGAUGAAAUUCUCAGAUCUGCAAACUUACAAAAGAGAAAUUCUAUUUAACAAAAUGUCUGACUAAACAAAGUUUUUCAAUUUGAGACCGUGUCAGAGUUCUGAACAUUAACAGCAUGCCUAUUCCAUAGUUAUAUAUAUUAAAAAAACUCUUCUCAAAUGUAGUAUCUUUAUUGGCAUUGCUAUAAAAUAAAUAAAUAAAAAUAAACUGUAUUAAGCAGGUAUGGUGGUUAACAAUAGACCAAAAGUUUGCUCAGGUACUGUGGGAAAAGAUCAUUCAGUGCUUUGUAAGUCAGUAAGUAUUUUAUAAUCAGUGCAAAAUUCUACUGGGUGCAAAUGUAAUGUGGAUAAAACAGGGGUGAUGCCAUCAAAAUGUCUGAUUUCGUAAGGACCGCUGAUCUCCUCGGAUUUUCACACACAACAGUCUCUACCACCAUGGUGAGCAGAAAAGCAUCUCAGCAUGCACAAAACAUCGAACAUUGAGGUGGAUGGGCUACAACAGCAGAAGAGCACAUUGGGUUCUGCUCCUGUCAGCCAAGAACAGGAAUAUGAGGCUAUUAAAGGCACAGGCUCACCCAAACUGGACAGUUGAAGAUUAGGAAAAAAAAUCACCUGGCCUUUUUCCAGUCUUCAUCUGUCCGGUUUUGGUGAGCCUUCCUAUUAGCUCAAACCAGCUUGGUCAUUCUCCUCUGAUCUCUCUCAUCAACAAGGUGUUUCAGCCUGCAGACCCUCUGCUCACAGGAUGCUUUUUUGUUUUUCGCACCAUUCCGUGUAAACUCUAGAGACUGUUGUGUGUGAAAAUCCCAGGAGAUCAGCAGUUUCUGAAAUACUCAAACCAGCCCAUCUGGUACCAACAACCAUGCCACAGUUAAAGUCACCGAGAACACACUUAUUCUUCAUUCUGAUGUUUGAUGUGAACAUUAACUGAAGCUCUUGACCUGUAUCUGCAUGAUUUUAUGCAUUGUGCUGCUGCCACAUGAUUGGUUGAUUGGAUAACUACAUAAAUGAGCAGGUGUACAUGUGUUCUUAUUAAGCUGAGUGGUUGAGUGUAUUGUCAUGAUACACAAUGUGCAUAAUAUUUGGGUUUGCUAACAAAAUGUGACAAUAAAAAUAAAAAAAAUAAAAAAAUGAAAGCUUCAAGAUAAUGUGAGAAGCAAUCGAGUCAGUAUGGUCAGCGUGGUAAAAGUGUUAGCAAUGUCCACUGUGCUUUCAGAAAUGCAUUCUGCAGCAAAAUGUAUUAUUAUCUAUUAAUAUCAUGGCUCCAUACCAUUCAUCCUUAAGCUGAAUUGAGCUCAGGUUACUUGCAACCCAAAAAAAAGUCUUUGUCCCUUUGAAAUUGAAAUUGAGGCCUUUUAAAUGCACAAGCAAUUAUAUUUACAACUUCAUAACAGAUUAACUUCAAUCUCAGUGACAUUAAGGUUUUGGUGGUAAUGGGGAGGAAGUAAACAUGAGCUGGCUUCUCAUAAAUACUACCGUUAAACAUGCUUUAAUGUUUGCAUCACAACCACAUUCAUCAAACAGAGCCAGAGUCAUUUUAUUUAAAUGUACAAGAGCCAUUUAUCUUAAAAAUGAUAGCCUAUGGUGUAGAGGAGAGUAGCAGUUUAUUUUUUAUCUAUUUACUAUGAUUGGGAAGUGUUAAGCCAGUUUUAGAACAUGUGAUUAUAGCAGUCUUUCAAGAUUAAUAUUUGUCAUAUUAUAUGAGAUCCCAAUAAAAUAUUGGUUGAAUUCUAUAACAAACUGUGUCCUCCAUCAUAUCAUGUGUCCACCAUGUCAUACUAUACAAUGAAGAUCCUCUAAUGAUAGACCUGCAAUUAAACAAAAAUUACUAAGUUUAUGUCAACAAUGAGUGUGAAGCAGAAAAUGGGUUUGCGUAACAGAAACAUUAUUCAAACUGAGCAUGAGGUAAUAAGGUAAAAAAAUAUUUUUUGUCCAUUAGCAUGUUUAUUUACGUUUCUCUGUUGGCACUACUGAAUUUGUAGCUGUCCUGUGCAUUUUGCUUCAUGGUACGCUGUCCUCCUAUUGGUAGGAUUUGACAAGUGUAGACACUCACAGAAAAACAGGUACUAAACUGUACCAUUUCUUGUUGCUGGGGUGAUACCCUCAACAUACACAUUUGGUACCUUUAGUAUGUAUCUUUUAGCUAGAAAGGUACACAUGGUGUACCUUUAAUGGUAUAUUAAUUAUACCACCCAUGCAACAAGGAAAGUUUAGUACACUCUUAUAUUGUGAAAGUGUAGCAGCGGUAACACUGAGAUUUUAAUCAAAACAAGGCAAGGCCACAGAUAUGCAAUUUUAUGGCUAACAUAAAGAGAACAGGGUUGUCUCAUCCAGGCUUUGCUGUUUCUGUUUCUCCUCUGUGUGAUGAACACCAUAUGUUUGUGUUUGGAACCCUUCAGGAGACAGGCAGUAGUUCAGACAGGAUAUGACAUGCUGACAGGAAGCUGCAGAU
Long non-coding RNA from Pangasianodon hypophthalmus (striped catfish), 7567 nucleotides. RefSeq lists it as uncharacterized. The transcript has 3 exons. The record is from RefSeq and is a predicted model, not a curated record. NCBI's taxonomy places the organism in Eukaryota, Metazoa, Chordata, Actinopteri, Siluriformes, Pangasiidae.